Molecule: ribosomal RNA, 253 nt
Filed under: uncultured bacterium
Lineage: Bacteria
Description: partial 16S ribosomal RNA
Rfam family: Bacterial small subunit ribosomal RNA
Source: RNAcentral
UACGAAGGGGGCUAGCGUUGUUCGGAAUUACUGGGCGUAAAGCGCGUGUAGGCGGGUCCUUAAGUCAGGGGGGAAAUGCCGAGGCUCAACCUCGGAACUGCCUUUGAUACUGGGGAUCUUGAGUCCGGGAGAGGUGAGUGGAACUGCGAGUGUAGAGGUGAAAUUCGUAGAUAUUCGCAAGAACACCAGUGGCGAAGGCGGCUCACUGGCCCGGAACUGACGCUGAGACGCGAAAGCGUGGGGAGCAAACAGG